CUAGAGUGCGUAGGUGCGUACACGUAUGCAUCUACGCACAGGAGAUAGCUCCCGAAAGGGAAUUAUACUCAUAAGAUCACACGAGCUCUGAGAGUGAUUAACUACAGGGUUGCGAUGAGCAUGCGUUUGAUUAGUUAGUGGUGAGGUAACGGCUCACCAAGACGAUGAUCAAUAGGGGAACUGAGAGGUUGAUCCCCCACACUGGCACUGAGAUACGGGCCAGACCCCUACGGGAGGCAGCAGUGAGGAAUAUUGGACAAUGGGUGAGAGCCUGAUCCAGCCAUCCCGCGUGAAGGACGACUGCCCUAUGGGUUGUAAACUUCUUUUGUAUAGGGAUAAACCUACCCUCGUGAGGGUAGCUGAAGGUACUAUACGAAUAAGCACCGGCUAACUCCGUGCCAGCAGCCGCGGUAAUACGGAGGGUGCAAGCGUUAUCCCGGAUUUAUUGGGUUAAGGGUCGAGGCGAUCUGUAUCAGUGAAUCUCACAGUUUAUGGAAAUGCAUGAUACUGGUCUGAUUGUGUUGAAGUAGCUGGAAUAAGUAGUGUAGGGUGAAUGCUUAGAUUUUACUUAGAACACCAAUUGGGAGGNGGUUACUUAAG
This 600-nucleotide ribosomal RNA is filed under the name uncultured bacterium. RNAcentral's name for it is "bacterial SSU rRNA". It matches the Rfam family "Bacterial small subunit ribosomal RNA", at positions 93 to 734 of the family's 1533-position model. The record is from RNAcentral.